CCCUUAGAUGUCCGGGGCUGCACGCGCGCUACACUGAAGGAAUCAGCGUGCUAAAACCAUUGUCGAAAGGCAUUGGUAAACCCAUUAAAAUCCUACGUGAUUGGGAUCGGGAAUUGCAAUUAUUUCCCUUGAACGAGGAAUUCCCAGUAAGUGUGGGUCAUAAGCUCGCGUUGAUUACGUCCCUGCCCUUUGUACACACCGCCCGUCGCUGCCCGGGACUGAGCCGUUUCGAGAAAAGCGGGGACUGCUGCUGUCGGGGCUUUCGGGCCUUGGCUUCGGUGGAAACCGCUUUAAUCGCAGUAGCUUGAACCGGGCAAAAGUCGUAACA
This 328-nucleotide ribosomal RNA is filed under the name uncultured eukaryote. RNAcentral describes it as "partial 18S ribosomal RNA". It matches the Rfam family "Eukaryotic small subunit ribosomal RNA", at positions 1470 to 1796 of the family's 1831-position model. The record is from RNAcentral.